AGCGAACGCUGGCGGCAGGCCUAACACAUGCAAGUCGAGCGCCCCGCAAGGGGAGCGGCAGACGGGAGAGUAACACGUGGGAACGUACCCUUUGGUUCGGAACAACCCAGGGAAACUUGGGCUAAUACCGAAUAAGCCCUUACGGGGAAAGAUUUAUCGCCGAAGGAUCGGCCCGCGUCUGAUUAGCUAGUUGGUGAGGUAACGGCUCACCAAGGCGACGAUCAGUAGCUGGUCUGAGAGGAUGAUCAGCCUCACUGGGACUGAGACACGGCCCAGACUCCUACGGGAGGCAGCAAUGGGGAAUAUUGGACAAUGGGCGCAAGCCUGAUCCAGCCAUGCCGCGUGGGUGAUGAAGGCCCUAGGGUUGUAAAGCCCUUUCGGCGGGGAAGAUAAUGACGGUACCCGCAGAAGAAGCCCCGGCUAACUUCGUGCCAGCCGCCGCAGUAA
RNAcentral lists this ribosomal RNA (447 nucleotides) under uncultured bacterium. RNAcentral's name for it is "partial 16S ribosomal RNA". It matches the Rfam family "Bacterial small subunit ribosomal RNA", at positions 29 to 523 of the family's 1533-position model. The record is from RNAcentral.